Molecule: unclassified non-coding RNA, 1354 nt
Filed under: Hevea brasiliensis (rubber tree)
Lineage: Eukaryota; Viridiplantae; Streptophyta; Magnoliopsida; Malpighiales; Euphorbiaceae
Source: RNAcentral
AAUCAUGUGACCGAAUCCUCACUCUUAUUUCGUCUCUUAAUCCAUUCAGAAAAAACCCUAAAAAUUGCUGAUCAGAUAAACCAGCAACUUGAACUGCUUGAGCUAUAAAAUCAUCUAUGAACUCGUCCACAGAUCUUUAUUGCUUCACUGCUGCCAAUCUUUCAACAGGAUUAGCAAACACAUCAUCCCCAUACCGUUGUAAUAUUUCAGCAGAUAAUUUCUCCCAUGUCAUGUUGGGAGAUCUCUGUUUCAACCACAAAAACCAGUGAAGAGCUCCUCCCUCCUUACAAAUCAAGGCCAACUGUACAUUUGAUUCAUUGCGAGUCUGGUGGAUGGUAAAAUCCCGCUCAGCCCUAGCUAACCACCCCAAGGGAUCCUGUCCAUCAAAGUUUUGGUAGUUGUACCCGUUUGGCUGAAAUUCCCAUGUUUCGUUUUGCUACUCGUGGAUCCGAGGUCUCUCCUUGGAGAUUCGAAGCUGAUGCUCCCUCCAAUUCCUCAUGAGUGGACUUCCCCUUUACUAAACAAGUAAGCAAUCCUUUUAUGGCAUCCAUCUUUUCGAGUGCCUGACUCAUUUCCUCCCAUAAAUCAUUCAACUUGCAAUCCCGUUCAGUUCGCAGUUGGAGUAUCUCUUCCUUCAAAAUUGCCAUGUUCCUCUCUAUCAUCUCCACUCGGUUCUCCAUUAGAGCAUUUGAUAGAGAUAGGAACAAUCAGAGAGAAUAGGAGAAAUUUAUAUUAAUACUCGUUAAACUCCUAUUUGGAAUCUCCAAAUGGCAUUCUGACCGCAUCCUCCUCCAACGGUAUGCUUUAUGCAAUAUGCCAAUGCCAUUGCCAAUAUCCAGUCCAGCCUCCUUUUGCAUGUGCAAGCUUGCACCUUGUCAUCUUCCUUCUGCAUAUGGCUGGGCUCAUUCAAUCCUCUCUUCUUCUUCAUCUUCUUCUCAUUCUUAUCCUUUUUAACCUUAGAAAAAUCUGGGUUUUCAAGCACAAGCGGCUUCAAUUGCUUCAAUUUUUCUUCUCUCGCUUUCAAAUAAUCCUCAAUACUACUGCCUCUCACAUUACUGUUACUACCAAUUGGCAUUAAAUCAAGCCUCCUCCUCUCCGCACGUUGCCCAAACUCCAAUUGCUGUGAAAGCUUACGCCUUUCCUUCUUAGUAAUAUUAAUUUCCCUCUGAACUUCAACCCAUUCUUCAGGAAUUAAAUUUUCGGACUGAAUUUCUGUUGAUUUCUUCUUAUUGUUGUUUUGUGGCUUAUUUUGGUUGUUGUCUGGUUUUUGAACAAAAGGGUCGUCGAAAAUUCCUUCUUCAAACACUAUACAGUCUCCGAUUACAUGUUCUUCGUCUUCUCGAGAGAAAUGGGU